UUUCCGGUUGAGGCGGUUGCGCAUCAGUUGUUUCCUUUUCCUCUUAAUGAAAAGUAAAACUGAUUCUGACAGGAGGUUUUACCUUUCUAGAUAGAAAAAUGAAGGUAAAAUUGAUUUUCCUCUUGAGUUUAUUAAAAAGAUAGUAACAACAAAAUUCAACUUAAAUUGUUGUGAACUUAAAAUCCUUUCUUUUGGGACAUGUUCAGAGAUAUAUCUAUUUCUGUAACUUUUCGUUCUUUACCUUGUAAGAUACGACAAGCGAUGACAUAAGAAUUAAUACGAUCCGGUUUAGGCCGGUUGAGGUUUAGGGUUUAAUGUUGGCUAUAGAUAUCGAUAGGUCGGACUGACCCUAAAUAUCUUAACCUUAUUUAACAUUCCUAGAUAUUGAUGUAUUUUACACUAUUCUGUUUCAAAUAAAAUAAAUUAGAGUUUGAUCCACAUGUAUGCGCAAAUACUAUUUCACUAGGUGAUGACCCGCGCCCUGCGCGGGGUGAAUGGUCUCUGCGCGGGGUGAAUGGUCUAAAAAAAUUAUACAUUUUAACCUAUAGUUAUUGAAAAGGUAAAACAAAAAGUGGCAUAUUAUACUUGGUAUAGAUUAGCAGAAGUAACGUUUGAUAUAAUGAUUAAUUCAAAGAAAACCAAUUUGGGAUUGGAAGUUAAUUUACUCGAUGUUUCAGUUAAAAAACAAGUUUACUGGAGUGUUCGGAUAACGAUAAUCUUAUUAUGGUCGAGAAACAGUAAUUGUCCUAUUAUCAAAGUUGUAUCGUUAUAUUUUAGUAAAAUUAUACUGAUUCGGGAGUACAUAAAAUUUAUAAAAGAAUAGAAAUAAAUUGAAGUAAAUAAUAUUAGGUCGGAAAAAAAAGUAAAUAAUAUGAGUUUACAAAUUUAGUGGGGUGAUUAGGACUCGAAUUUGUAAAAGAGGCCUAUUAUUGAACUUUAAUAUUGAUUGUGACUCAAAAUACAUAUGAGUCUCUUUUAAUUUAUCUUUUAUUUAAAAAGGUGUUUUUACUAAAAAAUCUCGAGGGGACACGAGAUAAGGGGCUACGGUUAAGCCUCUCCGCCCGAUCUAUCUUCUCAUCACCUGAGAAAUAAACAUAUUUCAUUAACUAAGCUCAAUCCCAAUAUAUAAGAAGAUUAAAAGCUGAAUCGAGUAACUCAAGUCUCAGGGAAUUUGAACCGAUGAAUUGUAGAUCGACAAAGGCCCUAUCAACAAACCUCCUGAAUAUUUGUUAAUUUCUAGAUGCAUCGAGGACACAGUAAGCUUUCAAUAUAAUCACUUAUAGUCCCCAUAUUAUUUGAAGUACUGUAUUUUGUCGACUUCGUGAAGCCGCAAGUGGUAUAUCUUAGUGAAAAGAAAGGGCUGGAAAAGACUCCUGCAAUUAAAACCGGAGAAGAGUGUACUGACUAUCGCUCCUGACAAAAUAUCUCCUGAAGUUUGUUUAAUUCGUUGACGCAGCGGUUACAUGUUUCCAUUUACAUGAAGUCGCAAAAGGUGUAUCACAUUCAUCGUGGACAGGUUAGAUUCCGACCUUAUCGUUUAUGGGUAAUAUAUAUUGCUUGAAAUUUAUUAACAAUCACAUGGAGGAUAAAGUUGAUACUUGAUGAUAAAAAGAUAGUAGUAAACUUAAAAUAAAUAGUCGUUAUCAAUAAAAGGCAACAAUUGCAUACUGAAAUAAAAUAUAACUCCAAGAAUGAUCAUGAACAUACCAACAUAGAACUUUGGAUGAGUUUAUAUACACAUAGACAAAAUGAGUUUAUAUACACAUAGUCAAAUAUCAUGAACAUACCAACAUAGAACUUUGGAUGAGAAAGACCAAGAAUGAUCCAACGGAAGUUGGCUAGACAAAUGUAGUUACAAUCAUUGAUCAGUUCAAUCUUGGAAACAACAUAUGAUUCAGAUAACUUGAUAUGUUAGGUGUCAAGGAAAAAUUAAACAGAAUCUUAGAACAUUGUUGUCUCAUUAAAGGAUCAAACUGUGAAACCAGUCCUUUCUAACCGAUGUAUGGAUUUUGUCUCCCUACAAUAUAAUAACAAAUGAAAGCAUCAGAUAAUAAACACAUAAUUUGCUUACGAUUUAAAGAAUAUACAUCAUAAGAAACCUAAUUUUUUCGUCUACGAAAACCAUUCAAUGGUUUCUCCAGUAGGAGCCAAGUACUACUUCCAAAGUUUUAUGACAUUCACCAUAAUCUUCUACAAAAACUUUUUGGCUUCAAGUCAGAAAUGAAAUUCAUGCUUAAUAUAUUUUUGCUAGUUUUGAAACGUGUAGUUUGUGAUAUUAUAGCUUUAUGGAUGAUAUGAUAUAUAUAUAUAUAUAUAUAUAGUAACUGAUAGGGUUUUGACCCACGAGAUUUGAAAAAAUAAAUAAUUUUCGCCAUAAAGCAAUAUUACAAAUCCCUAAUUGUUAGUAGAUUUCCAGACAAGUAUAGAAAGUAAUAUACACAUAGGGAUAAAAUUAAGGAAGUCUACAUUAAGAAUGACAUAUUCUUUAAACUGAAUCGGAAAAUUUAAAUUUCCAAAUUUAAUGUCUGUCAACAUUUAUGUUAAUUACGUAAUCAAAGGCUCCGACUGGUGACCUUUUCGGGAACACGAGGAACGAAUACGAAAGGAAUGUAUAAGAAUAAAAUUGAAGGAAUGAAAAGGAAUGCUUGUUCCUUAUCAAAUUUAACAAGGAAUGUUUUUGUUCUAUAUUUCUCUACAAAAAAAGGAAUGGAGAGGAACAAGAAGGAAAAACUAUUCCUUGUGAAUGGUGAUUUUUUUUGGGAAUGAUAAGGAAUUCAGUGUUCCCCUUCGUUCCUUGGUCACCAUUCAAAGCCAAAAAGUCUUGUAAUCAAAAUUAAGAGAUAGCCUAGAAAAUUUUAAUACAGUUUCACCAAUUUUUGAAUGUAUUUUACUAUCACUCAAGAUUGCUUAUAAAUUUUUUAUAUACGACACUUUGAUUUUACAAUAUAAUUUUAUUUAUAUUUUCCAGUUUCAAAUUAAAUUUUACUCACAUAUAUAAUUGUCUCUAAAUAAACCAAAAUAAAUUUCACAAACCAAAUAAUUAUAGAAGAACAUAAUUAUGAAUCGUUUAUACAUUCCAGACCUUAAAAAUGUCAUGUAUCAUUCAUAAAUCGUAGAAUAUUCAUAUUAUAACAAUAUGAAUCAUAUAUAUGGUCAAAAUAUCAUUUGUGACUAUAAAUAUCAGAUAAUCCUAUUAAUUUCGCAUAACAUUAUAAUCUUAGAUUUCCAGACAUUAUAGAAAGUCUUAUAUGCAAGGAGCAAAAAUAAAGAAAGUCCAUAAUAAAAUGAUAUUUGACUUUAAACUUAAUCAGAGAGGAAUGAUAUAAAUUACCAAAUUUAUUGUCUGUUACCAUUUAAUAUAAUUUCGAAAUCAAAAAGUCUUGUUGCAAAAUUUAAGGGAUUGAAAAAAUUUAAUAUGAAAUUCCUUUUCAGAUGUAUUUUACAAUCACGCAAGAUAUUCAAUAGAUUUUUUAUAGACGACAUUUUGAUUUUACAAUUUAAAAAGUUUAUAUUGAUGCUAUUAAAAUAAAUUCCCAAAAAAAAAUCAUGUAUCCCAUAAUAAUCCAAAAAUAUUAAUCAAAAUAGAUGU
Molecule: long non-coding RNA, 3589 nt
Organism: Brassica rapa (field mustard)
Lineage: Eukaryota; Viridiplantae; Streptophyta; Magnoliopsida; Brassicales; Brassicaceae
Source: RefSeq, a predicted model, not a curated record